RNAcentral lists this long non-coding RNA (3293 nucleotides) under Marmota monax (woodchuck). Lineage: Eukaryota; Metazoa; Chordata; Mammalia; Rodentia; Sciuridae. The record is from RNAcentral.
GGUGGAUACAAUAUCUUUAUUUUAUUUUUAUGUGGUGCUGAGGAUCGAACCCAGUGCCUCACACAUGCUAGGCAAGCACUCUACCACUUGAGCCACAACCCCAGCCCUGGCCUUUUAUAUUUUUGAGACAAGUUUUCAUUAAGUUGUUCAGGUCCUCACUAAGUUGCUAAGGCUGGCUUUGAACUUGAAGUCCUCCUGCUUUAGCCUCUUGAGCCACUGGGAUUAUACGUGUAUGCCACUGUACCUGCCAUAGUAAGAGAUCUUUAUGUUAUUGAAGGGAUGCCCCAAAAGGAUUUGGGACCCCAGUUUCUCCUUUUUUUUCUCUUUUGUUUCCUGACUAUGAGCUGUGCAGUUUUGCUCUGCCAGUUUUGCUCUUGCCAUUGCCAUCCAGCACCCCCAUUGGAGACCUAAAAUAAAUGGGUCCUCCUGAUCAUGGACUAGAACCUCCGAAACUGUGUGCCAAAACAAACUUUUUUUUUUUUUUAAUAAGUCGCUUAUCUCAGGAGUUUGUUAUAGUGAUGGAAAGCUAACAUAAAUACAUUUGCACACAUACAUAGAAAACAUUUUCAUUGUUCUUUUUUAAAAUAUCAGUUUAGUAUAUUAUCAUUCCUUGGCUAUAGUUAAUACAACACAGGCUGUUUAAUACAGUUUACUUUAAAAAUUAUUCAUUCUGGGUUUGAGGUUGUGGCUCAGUGGUAGAAUGCUUGCCUAGCAUAUGUGAGGCACUGGGUUCGAUCCUCAGCACCACAUAAAAAUCAGGAAAUAAAAUGAAGGUAUUGUGUUCAUCUACAACUAAAAAACAUUUUUUUAAAAAUUAUUCAUUCUGGAAAGAAUAAAUACUCUAAAUUUUGCUCUUUGAGAAACCCUUUCUACACUUAUAUACUUGGAAAAUCAGUUUGAUUCCAAGUAAGUUAUUAAAGGUAUAGUAUAUAAUAAAAUAUAGAGGUUAAAGGCUCACAUAGGGCUGGGGCUGGAGCUCAGUAACAGAGCACUUGCCUAGCAUGUGUGAGGCACUGGGCUUAAUUCUUAGUACCACAUAAAAAUAAAUAAAAUAAAGGCAUUCUGUCCAUCUACAAUUACAAAAAAAAUUAAUUAAAAAGAUUCACAUAAUCUAAUUCAGGGUUUUGUUUUGUUUAGGACAGAGCUUAACAUUUCAAAUGCAGAUAGAGAUCUAUGUUGCUGGAUAAAACAGAAAUUAUCCCACCAACAUCUUUCAUCAUAAAUUUAAGUUUUUUCAAAUGUGCUUGUGUGCGUGUGUGUGUGUGUGUGUGUGUGGUGGGGAUAUAUGUUUAUACAGUGCUUUGUUAUUAUUACUUUUUAAUAUUUGUUUUUAGGUGUUGAUGGACCUUUAUUUUAUUCACUUAUGUAUAUGUGGUGCUGAAAAUCAAACCCAGGGCCUCUCACAUGCUAGGCAAGUACUCUACCACUGAGCCACAACUCCAGCUCACUAUGUAGUGCUUUAUUAUUUAUGGAGCACUUUUACAUCAUUCAUUGUUUUAACACUUUUAUAAGAUAGAUGUGAUAGUUUGUCCUAUCUGCUUUUUUCCUUUCUUCUUUACAUCUAUCCAUCAAUGCUUAACACAUUUAACUACUACUUAUUGAAUAUUUCAAAUAAGAUUUCUACUUUUUUAAUAUUUAUUUUUUAGUUAUAGGUGGACACAAUAUCUUUAUUUUAUUUUUUAAAUGUACACCUAAUUUGCAUUAGUUAUGUUCUUGGUGUAAUGCAACCAUCACCAGUAUUUCCAAAACUUUUCAUCGCCCCUAAACAGAAACUGAACCUAUUAGGUAAUAAUUCUUCAUUCUUCUUUCCUCCAGUUCCUGGUAAUCAUUUUAUGUUUUUAUGAAUUUGCUAAAUUCAAAUACUUCAUUUAAGUGGAAUCAUAUAAUAAUUUUUCUUUUGUCUCCAGUCUAUUUCAUUCUGCAUGAUUUUAAGCUUCGUCCAUAUUGUGGCAUUCCUAUUUAUGGUUAAAUAGUAUUCUAUUUUAUGUAUACACUAUAUUUUAUCCAUCUGUUGCUAGACAUUUGGAUUAUUUCUAAAGUGUUUUAGUAGUUUAUAAGUUUUUAUAAAAUAAUACCUUUUUUGUUUUCUGAAACUUAUGGACUUUCAUUGCUAACCAGGUUUAGGGUAGGUAGCUGAUUUAGCUUUGGAAUAUUUAAUUUAAUCAUAAUUCAUUUUCAUUCUGUAAUUAGUUUUUAUUUUCCCUUUAGUUAUUGUUUUUUUUAUUUUUCUUAGUAGUGUUUUUACUAAAAUAUUUGCAUCUUAAUGAUAAAAUUAUAGUAUAAUGUGACAGAAAGAUCAUAAGAAUAGAUUUACAAGACUUGCAUUCUAAUUCCAGUUGAGACAUUAACAAGUCAUGUCAAUUUUGGCAUCUUUAUUUUGUCAUGUCUUUAUCUUAUUUAUAAGCAAGCUAGUACUAAGUGAUUGCUUAAUUUCAUUGGUCUAAAUUUUGUGGUUUCUAUUUCUGUAGAGGUAUUAUUAAAUAUUUACUUUAAAUGAUCAAUACUGAAAAUAUUGAAAAGAGUCCAGUAUAAAUACAUUUUUAUACUUAGGUUCCCAUUGUAAGACAUUGAAUUUCAGUUUUGAGAUGCAAAGUUGAAAUAUUCUGUUGUUUAAAAAAAAAACAGUUGCAGAAGAGAGGCUGGCUGUUCAUAAUAUGUAUUUUUAGUUAACAUCAGUGCCUAAAUUUACUGUUACUGUUAAAAUUUACAGAACAUUUUGCUCCCUCAGAACUGAUUUUGGCAUAAAAUAUGCUGACAAGAUUUCAUGUAUUUUUGACCACAGUAUAUUCCUUUGCCUCUUUUCCAAUUUUGUUCACCAUUGACAUACGCCCUUCUGUGAUUCAACUAUCCAUUUGAUUCUCAUUAUGUGUAGUAAAAUGUGAGUUUUUAAACACACCAUUACUCUGUGAUUUUAUGUUUUACUUAUUCUGUGAGGAUAUAAAACUUGGGUUCCCUCAGAAGGGUUUGGGAACUCACAGAAAUUGUAUUAUUCUAACCUAUUUUCAAAAUUAAAAACUACAAGAUAAAAGACAAAGGCCAAUAGCCAUAUAAUAUAAAGAAAAUUCGUAUCAAGAAGUCUUGUCAAUCAAGGCUCAGAGAAAAGCUAAUCGAUUACAUACACAACUGAUCUAAUGAUAGAAAGUCUACCAGUUCUUUUGGUACUGAUUGAACCCCAGAGCCCUUAACCACUUGAGCCAUAUCCCCAGCCCUUUUUUUCAUUUUUUUUUAAAGUUGUCAUUGGACCUUUUUUAUUUAUUUAUAUUUUUAAAAUACUUACUUUUUAGUUGUAUGCA